AGCAUAUCAAUAAGCGGAGGAAAAGAAACUAACAAGGAUUCCCCUAGUAACUGCGAGUGAAGCGGGAAAAGCUCAAAUUUAAAAUCUGUCAGUCUUUGGCUGUCCGAGUUGUAAUCUAGAGAAGUGUUAUCCGCGUUGGACCGUGUACAAGUCUCCUGGAAUGGAGCAUCAUAGAGGGUGAGAAUCCCGUCUUUGACACGGACUGCCAGGGCUUUGUGAUGCGCUCUCAAAGAGUCGAGUUGUUUGGGAAUGCAGCUCAAAAUGGGUGGUAAAUUCCAUCUAAAGCUAAAUAUUGGCGAGAGACCGAUAGCGAACAAGUACCGUGAGGGAAAGAUGAAAAGAACUUUGGAAAGAGAGUUAAACAGUACGUGAAAUUGCUGAAAGGGAAACGCUUGAAGUCAGUCGCGUUAUCCAGGGAUCAACCUUGCUUUUGCUUGGUGUACUUUCUGGUUAAUGGGUCAGCAUCAAUUUUGACUAUUGGAAAAAGAUCAGGGGAAUGUGGCAUCUUCGGAUGUGUUAUAGCCCUUGGUUGCAUACAAUGGUUGGGAUUGAGGAACUCAGCACGCCGCAAGGCCGGGUUUUUAACCACGUACGUGCUUAGGAUGCUGGCAUAAUGGCUUUAAUCGACCCGUCUUGAAACACGGACCAAGGAGUCUAACAUAUCUGCGAGUGUUUGGGUGGAAAACCCGAGCGCGUAAUGAAAGUGAAAGUUGAGAUCCCUGUCGUGGGGAGCAUCGACGCCCGGACCAGACCUUUUGUGACGGUUCCGCGGUAGAGCAUGUAUGUUGGGACCCGAAAGAUGGUGAACUAUGCCUGAAUAGGGUGAAGCCAGAGGAAACUCUGGUGGAGGCUCGUAGCGAUUCUGACGUGCAAAUCGAUCGUCAAAUUUGGGUAUAGGGGCGAAAGACUAAUCGAACCAUCUAGUAGCUGGUUCCUGC
This 938-nucleotide ribosomal RNA is filed under the name Cortinarius meleagris. RNAcentral describes it as "eukaryotic LSU rRNA". It matches the Rfam family "Eukaryotic large subunit ribosomal RNA", at positions 37 to 961 of the family's 3401-position model. The record is from RNAcentral. Lineage: Eukaryota; Fungi; Basidiomycota; Agaricomycetes; Agaricales; Cortinariaceae.